This 207-nucleotide ribosomal RNA is filed under the name uncultured bacterium. RNAcentral's name for it is "partial 16S ribosomal RNA". It matches the Rfam family "Bacterial small subunit ribosomal RNA", at positions 568 to 774 of the family's 1533-position model. The record is from RNAcentral.
CGUGUAGGCGGCUAAGCAAGUCAGAGGUGAAAGCCCUGGGCUCAACCUGGGAACUGCCUUUGAAACUGCUUGGCUUGAGACCGGAAGAGGAUGGCGGAAUUCCCAGUGUAGAGGUGAAAUUCGUAGAUAUUGGGAAGAACACCGGUGGCGAAGGCGGCCAUCUGGUCCGGAUCUGACGCUGAGGCGCGAAAGCGUGGGGAGCAAACA